Non-coding RNA from Miniopterus natalensis, 991 nucleotides. The record is from RefSeq and is a predicted model, not a curated record. NCBI's taxonomy places the organism in Eukaryota, Metazoa, Chordata, Mammalia, Chiroptera, Miniopteridae.
ACCCGAGUCUCCGCGCACCGCGCUGCUCCGUGGGACGAGCGCCCCCGGUUGCCUGUGUCUCGAGGUGCGGGGGCAGCUCGCGGCCCAGAGAGCCCCCCACGGAUGCGGGGGGGGGCACGCCGGCCACGCCUGGUCUCCAAGCCCGCCCCCAGGCUCCAAAGUAAAACCCGAGACCAGGAGCUGGGCCGGAGACUCCCCGCAAACUCCCAAGUCCCGCCUGGCAGGAUCCUGCGCUGAGCUCCAAGGGGCCGCCCCGGGGCCCCAGCGUGCGCCCCCUGACCUCUGUGCACCGGCUCCGCCCUGCAGGCUGCGUGACCUCGGGGAACCCCUCACCAUCUCAGGGUUCUCCACGAGAUGGCUCUGAAUCUGGAGGGACGGGUUACUGAGGGCCAGUGCCAGGCUCUGUGCCCCACCGGCUGCCCUCACCAAGCUCACAGCGGCAGGGCACACCUGGUGGGUGCCAAGGGUUCCAGCAGGUCAGCACAGGCCUCCCAGCUCUCAUCAUUGCCUCUGGCCUCACUGUUGGGCUACACGGCCUCCUGGGCUCCCCCAGGUUUGUCCUUCUGGGCAGGUGCUGCUGGCAGGAGCUGACCGGGUCCCCCCCGUCCUGACCCACAAGGAGGAAAUGCAAGGAUGGGGACAGCGGGUUGAACACUUAAUGAGGCUCCCUGCCACGUGGUGCGGGCCUAGGCCUUGCGGGACAUGCUGGAGCGCAGGGCCCCCGUGUAGUUACCCCCAAACCAGGGCACGCCUAAGGCCCCUGUGUACUCCAGCCACCGCCCGUGGCCUGUUGAGAGCAGCCUGGACGCAGUCACUGUACCACCAGCCAGGGCUGGAGUGAUGGCAGCUGCCAGCCGGCAGCCACCCCCAGCCCCAGCGUCCGCCCUGCGUUCCUGGUGGGCAUCAAAGCUGUGGCCUCAGGGCUCUGGCUGGUUUGGCUCAGUAGUUAGAGGGUCGGACCGAAGGGUCACGGGUUCCAUUCCCGGAGGUC